GUGCCAGCCGCCGCGGUAAUACAGAGGUCCCAAGCGUUGUUCGGAUUUACUGGGCGUAAAGGGUGCGUAGGCGGUUGUUUAAGUCUGACGUGAAAUCUCCGGGCCUAACCCGGAAACUGCGUUGGAUACUAUUCAACUAGAGGAAUGGAGGGGAGACUGGAAUACUUGGUGUAGCAGUGAAAUGCGUAGAUAUCAAGUGGAACACCAGUGGCGAAGGCGAGUCUCUGGACAUUUCCUGACGCUGAGGCACGAAAGCCAGGGGAGCAAACGGGAUUAGAUACCCUUGUAGUCC
Molecule: ribosomal RNA, 292 nt
Filed under: uncultured bacterium
Lineage: Bacteria
Description: partial 16S ribosomal RNA
Rfam family: Bacterial small subunit ribosomal RNA
Source: RNAcentral